GCUUCCCAAGCCUGAAUUGCCUUCACUGCCCAAGGUUGAGCUUCCACCAUUACCUGAAGUCCCAGCCUUUCCUAAACCCGAAGUUCCCAUAUUGCCAAAACCUGAAUUGCCUGAGUUACCAAAGCCUGAAAUUCCCACUCUUCCAAAACCUAAAUUGCCUGAGUUACCAAAGCCUGAACUGCCAACUUUUCCCCACUUGCCUGAGUUGCCAAAACCCUCGUUCCCUACGAAGGACACUAAACCUCCUCA
Molecule: long non-coding RNA, 249 nt
Filed under: Manihot esculenta (cassava)
Lineage: Eukaryota; Viridiplantae; Streptophyta; Magnoliopsida; Malpighiales; Euphorbiaceae
Description: long non-coding RNA (MESC_LNC003813)
Source: RNAcentral